GUAAAUGUGUUUAAGAUAGCCCUGAGUUUUUCUAGAUAAAUACCUGGAAACAUUUAUUUGAAUCAUUUAUUGUCAUGUGUAUUCCAUACAAAAUACAGUGAGAAGUUUAAACAGUCACCAUGCAUCAGUGACAUUUUGAGUAAUUUUAAAAAACUUUAAGAGAGUCCAACUUUCCACAACUGUUAAUAGCUGCCUCCUCGACGUCAUUGCCAGAGUGCCGUUCCUGGCACACCAGCCAGCUGACUCUGUAGCCACCUUGCUGCCGCCGCCAGGCCUUGGGCCCACAAUACUGCCACCAUUAAAGCUGCCUCUGAAGCCACUGCUGCUCUGGACCCUGCCGAAGCUACUUUCCUACUGACCAGUCUCUCCUCAGAAGGGUGAACAGCUUACUGGUCACUACCUCCUGGAUAUCCAUCCCUCUGCUACUAGAACACCCGCAUGUGAGAGAUGAAAAUGGUUGAAAUUGGCACUGACAAGCUGGGAUACUGCUUCUGACAGUAGUGACCUCUGGAGGCUGACUGUUUGCAGGGGAGUUAGAAGAGCUACCCUUUCUUCCCCCACCCCAUCCCCCAUGUCGAUUCCUGUCUGUGCACACCCUCUUUCCAUUAGACUAACAGAUAAGGCCAAAGGCUCCAUUUUGAUGACAAGCUGCUUCAGGCCUAGGACCACCCUACCCCAACUUCCACCCGAGUGUCGGCAGCCAGGAGGAAAAGCUGGAAGCAUUUCAGAAUCGAGAUGCCUUUCGCCUGUUGUUCGCCACCGUACAAGUGAGAGACCUUGGUGGCUCGAGAUGUGCCCCGGUGUUUGGCAGGCACUGUUCAUCCACAGCAAAGAAAGAUUUGCCAAACUUUAACCGUUAUUUCCCUUAAAGACAGACACAAGAUUCUAUUUUACAGCACAAAACUUUUUUUCUGUUUGUCUGCAGCUGGCCUGAGUAGGUACUGACAGGAGGGACUGCUUGACAGUGCCUGUGAGAAGCACUGUAAUCCCCUGUUGUAUCUGAUAAUUAAUAAAUGAAACACCCAGGGACUCUGCUAAAGCUUCCUCAGAUGACAUAUCUGUCGUGAGCUCGGCAAAGCAUUA
Non-coding RNA from Chiloscyllium plagiosum (whitespotted bambooshark), 1083 nucleotides. Lineage: Eukaryota; Metazoa; Chordata; Chondrichthyes; Orectolobiformes; Hemiscylliidae. The record is from RefSeq and is a predicted model, not a curated record.